Molecule: ribosomal RNA, 550 nt
Filed under: uncultured archaeon
Lineage: Archaea
Description: partial 16S ribosomal RNA
Source: RNAcentral
GUGCUCCCCCGCCAAUUCCUUUAAGUUUCAGCCUUGCGACCGUACUUCCCAGGCGGCGCGUUUCACGAUUUCUCUUCGGCACCUCGGUGACUCGUGGUCACCGAUACACCUAACGCGCAUCGUUUACAGCUGGGACUACCCGGGUAUCUAAUCCGGUUUGCUCCCCCAGCUUCCGUUCCUCACUGUCGGAGCCGUCCUGGUGAGACGCCUUCGCCACAGGUGGUCCCCCAAGGAUUACAGGAUUUCACUCCUACCCCUGGAGUACCUCUCACCUCUUCCGGUCCCUAGUCUGCCAGUAUCCCUGAGACGCCUUCCGGUUAAGCCGGAAGAUUUCCCCAGAGACUUAACAGACCAGCUACGAACGCUUUAAGCCCAGUAAUAGUGGCCACCACUCGAGCCGCCGGUAUUACCGCGGCGGCUGGCGCCGGUCUUGCCCGGCCCUUUCUUCACCAGUUAUUUACACUGGCGGACAGCCUGAUUUUACAGGCACUCGGAGUUCCCUUAUCACGAUUGCUCGCAUUGUAAAGUUUUCGCGCCUGCUGCACCCCGU